UGGUAGGGAUGGUAGGUGUGGGGAUGGUAGGGAUGGUAGGUGUAAUGGUAAGUGGAGUGGUUGUAGGUGUGGUGAAGGUAGGUAUGGUAGGUGUGAUUAUGGUAGAUGUGGUGAUGGUAGGUGUGGUGAUGGUAAGUGUGGUGAUGUUAGGUGUGGUGACGGUAGGUGUGGUAGGUGUGGUUAUGGUAGAUGUGAUGAUGGUAGGUGUGGUGACGGUAGGUAUGGUAGGUGUGUUAGGUUUUGUGAUGUAGGUGUGAGAGAAGUGGUGAUGGUAGG
This is a long non-coding RNA of Oncorhynchus tshawytscha (Chinook salmon), 276 nucleotides long. NCBI's taxonomy places the organism in Eukaryota, Metazoa, Chordata, Actinopteri, Salmoniformes, Salmonidae. The record is from Ensembl.